RNAcentral lists this unclassified non-coding RNA (140 nucleotides) under uncultured Ascomycota. RNAcentral's name for it is "sequence contains ITS1". The record is from RNAcentral. Lineage: Eukaryota; Fungi; Ascomycota.
ACGUUGGGGACCUCUGGUCCCUCGGCGAGAUAGAACCCUUUGCUUUGAGUACCACACGUUUCCUCGGCGGGUGCGCCCGCCAACGGGGACAGCAACAAAACCUUUUAUGAAGCAAUAACCGUUCUCUAAAACAAAACUUA